CCUACGGGGGGCUGCAGUGGGGAAUUUUGGACAAUGGGGGCAACCCUGAUCCAGCCAUUCCGCGUGAGUGAAGAAGGCCUUCGGGUUGUAAAGCUCUUUCGGCCGGGAAGAAAUCGCAUCUCCUAAUACGGGGUGUGGAUGACGGUACCGGAAGAAGAAGCACCGGCUAACUACGUGCCAGCAGCCGCGGUAAUACGUAGGGUACGAGCGUGGAUCGGAAUUACUGGGGGCAACGCGUUAGCAGGCGUGUGAAAUCCCCGGGCUUAACCUGGGAACUGCGUUUGUGACUGGUGGGCUUGAGUGCGGCAGAGGGGGGUGGAAUUCCACGGGUAGCAGUGAAAUGCGUAGAGAUGUGGAGGAACACCGAUGGCGAAGGCAGCCCCCUGGGUCGACACUGACGCUCAUGCACGAAAGCGUGGGGAGCAAACAGGAUUAGAUACCCGAGUAGUC
This 450-nucleotide ribosomal RNA is filed under the name uncultured bacterium. RNAcentral's name for it is "partial 16S ribosomal RNA". It matches the Rfam family "Bacterial small subunit ribosomal RNA", at positions 338 to 795 of the family's 1533-position model. The record is from RNAcentral.